UUUCUGUGGAGGGACAGGGAAGAAUUAGACUGUGCGUCCAGAAGCCCUUUAAUACAGAAGCAACGGACACAGGAGCCAUCGCUGCAGGUGGAUGUGGUCCCCAGUGACCUCCCAACAUGGACCACAAGACAAGCAGCUCCGGCUCAGCCCCUUCCUCAUCUCAUCUGUCACAAAGACCUCAGUUGUCCCAUCCUGGUAGGACGUGACUCCUCCUGGACCUCUGCCGCCUCUGCCACUGCUGGGGCUGCUCAGCCCCCAUCACAUAGUCCCCAACAUCCUCUUCCUCCCACCUGCUGGCCCAUGCAAUGAGACACCAACCUCCAGCUGCCUAUGAAAGCCAUGGCGAGUGUUCCCCAGCACUUCCAGCACCGUGUGUGUGUCCUGGCCGCAGUCACCAGCCCUGCCACCCCUUUGCCCUGAGGACACCCAGCAGUGAGGGGUUUCCCUCCGAUUCCUGUGUGGCUACUGCUAAUAACAAAAGCUGGAGGACAACGCUGGGAAGACGAGACUGUCCUGAGCAACACCUUGACUCCAACCUGUCCCUUCUGCGGGGGGACAAGUCGUGUGGCAGGUGCUGCUGUUGUGUCCGCACACCCGGCCCGCUCCCCGCUGCGGCUCCGCUCCCAGACCUCAUCUCACCACUGUCUGGAAGGCUCAAAUGCGGAGAUGACACCGAGAUUGGCAGAGCAAAAACGCAGCUUCCAACAAAGCGGGGUGAACCUUUGCUGGAGUUCCCAUGCUUGCUUGCCUUGCUCCAUCUCCAGCCGAGCAUCAUGCUCUCGCUGUCAGUUCCCGUGCUGACAGGCCAGAGCUCGCUCCGGGGAACCGCCACCACCGAGGACAGCCACAUUACCCUCUGCCCCGCACCAUCUGCUACCAGCCCGGCACAUCAAGACAGUCUGUGCGCCAGCACAUCCAGCGCAGCAAAGGUUUCCUGGGGAUUUCCUGGGCCAGCGAGACUAGUUAAAAGGAUGCUGUCGUUUGCUUAAUGACUCUCCCCCACAUGCUGCUGUUUAACAGUGCUAAGAGUGUCGUUUCCAAACCUGGCACUGCACCAAGGGCCUGGGGCGAAGGUUGUGCCCGACUCCCUGGGGCACCUGACGCAGGUCCCUGUGCACAAGUUCCCCAGCCCUGCAGACAGCCCUGCUGCUGGCAGCGUGCUCUGUUCCCCAUUUUUUCUGCUCCAUUAUUAAAGCUGCCACCUCCA
Molecule: long non-coding RNA, 1207 nt
Organism: Columba livia (rock pigeon)
Lineage: Eukaryota; Metazoa; Chordata; Aves; Columbiformes; Columbidae
Exons: 3
Source: RefSeq, a predicted model, not a curated record